RNAcentral lists this ribosomal RNA (445 nucleotides) under uncultured beta proteobacterium. Its description in RNAcentral is "bacterial SSU rRNA". It matches the Rfam family "Bacterial small subunit ribosomal RNA", at positions 444 to 887 of the family's 1533-position model. Lineage: Bacteria; Pseudomonadati; Pseudomonadota; Betaproteobacteria. The record is from RNAcentral.
AAAGGUCUCUGUUAAUACCAGGGGCUGAUGACGGUACCGUAAGAAUAAGCACCGGCUAACUACGUGCCAGCAGCCGCGGUAAUACGUAGGGUGCGAGCGUUAAUCGGAAUUACUGGGCGUAAAGCGUGCGCAGGCGGUCUUGUAAGACAGAUGUGAAAUCCCCGGGCUCAACCUGGGAACUGCAUUUGUGACUGCAAGGCUAGGGUGCGGCAGAGGGGGAUGGAAUUCCGCGUGUAGCAGUGAAAUGCGUAGAUAUGCGGAGGAACACCGAUGGCGAAGGCAAUCCCCUGGGCCUGCACUGACGCUCAUGCACGAAAGCGUGGGGAGCAAACAGGAUUAGAUACCCUGGUAGUCCACGCCCUAAACGAUGUCAACUGGUUGUUGGGUCUUCACUGACUCAGUAACGAAGCUAACGCGUGAAGUUGACCGCCUGGGGAGUACGGCC